Molecule: long non-coding RNA, 1692 nt
Filed under: Lepisosteus oculatus (spotted gar)
Lineage: Eukaryota; Metazoa; Chordata; Actinopteri; Semionotiformes; Lepisosteidae
Description: lncRNA (ENSLOCG00000021286.1)
Source: RNAcentral
GGGCUGGACCUCUCGAGCCAGGCUCUGGGUGCUGCUCGCUGGGCUGGCCCUGAUUGACAAAGCAGCUCUGUCUGCAAGCAGCCGGGGCAGCCAGACCUGUUUGCAGAAGGGCUCUGGCCCAGCAGGUCUCGUGGGCCCCCCUCCCUUCCAUAAGGAGCAGAGGAGCAGCCUCAGCUCGGCCAGCCAGGUUAAGACAUUCAGAGAUCUCCAGGAAUGCAGCCCUGAAGAACCUGUCCCGGCAGCUACGUUAGCAAAGAGUUACUGACCACGCUUGCACUGUCCUCUGCACACUGGAUCACGGUGAAGGAGACAGCCAUGCUCAGUCCAGUACGUCUCUUUCAAAUAAGAAAGGAGAACAGUGAGACGCAGGCAUUGGUGGAGGAAAGUGAAGACGAUCUGCAAAGAGAUAUUCAGAUAGGCAGGCAUCAGCUCCCGGGCACCAGGCAGCGCGGCAACUGGAAGGUUUCCCGCAAGACCCACAGGGACCCCGGAUACAAGGCACAACCGGACAUUGAAAAAGCAGGGACACCCUCAACCCCUUCACAGGAGGACGAGAGUUUCCCAGACGCGAUACAGAAUGGGGGGCUCAGUGGGACGCUGAAUCCUCCGUUCGGCACUGGAGCCAGGUUAGACCCUAUCUCAGCUGGAACAGGAGAAAGAGACAAUGAAAGAGCAGCACCGGGGAUAUCUGAGAAGACGACACGAGAGAGCUCCACCGUGAGCUCCAGUGCGAAUCUCUGUCACGUCGGUCGGAAGGAGAAGGACCAACCAGAAGCCCUGGUGAACCCCUAUGGCUCAGAGAAUGGUGGUAUUAGUGGGAUGUUGUGGAACCCUUUUCGCUCUGUGCCCAAGGACAGAGAUGAUAAGGAUGUGACUUCAGGGCACCUAGACAAGAGCUCUGUGAAAACAGCCAGCGAGGAAAGCAUCUUUCAUUCCAAACAGAUUGGUGUUAACAGUGGGAUACCAAUUAAUCCAUUUUACUCUUGGACCAAGGAGAAAGACAGUGAGGACUUGGCCGCAGAGUCCUGUGAGAAGAUAAAUUCUGAGAAAACGGGGAGAGAUGAGAGCCUCUUUCACUCCAAACAGAUUGGUGUUAACAGUGAGAUACUGUGGAAUCCAUUUUACUCUUGGUCCAAGGACAAUGAGGUUGUCACAUUGGAGUCCCUUGGGAAAAUGAGCUCUGGGAAAACGUCCAGUGCUGAGAAGCUCUCUCAGACCAAACAGGACGGCGAUGUCGGGGAGAUGGUGAGGAAUCCCUUUCUCUCUGCGCUCAAGGAGAUGGGCCGUGAAAGCGUGGCCCCAGAGCCCUGCGAGACGCUGAGAUCUGAGGAGCCGGCCGGCAAGGGGAAACGGGGCUCCAGUGACUGGCUCAGUGGGUUCCAGAGAGAGGUGCCGUCUAACCCGUUUUAUACAUCCCCCAAGCCCCAGGGGCAGGCUGAUCUGGAGUCAUGGAGGGAUGUCCAGGCUCGCAAGAGUCUCUCUGACUCGGCUCUGAUCGCUCCGGAACCAGCAGGGCCCUCUCUGGUCCUACCUCGCGUCCUCCCUGCACCAGUCCAGGAGCGCCGGUGGUCCAGGGUGGAGACGGAGGCCCCGCUGUAUGAGAGCAUCAUCCUCAUUGGGCAGGUCCGAGCAGGGCUUGGGUGGAGAUGGACGCGGCCGUUACUUGUGGGGUUUCUGGACUGAUAGGCUGGA